AAGUGUAUAAGUGGAGUGCCU
This 21-nucleotide microRNA is filed under the name Brachypodium distachyon (stiff brome). RNAcentral describes it as "bdi-miR5066". The record is from miRBase by way of RNAcentral. Lineage: Eukaryota; Viridiplantae; Streptophyta; Magnoliopsida; Poales; Poaceae.